UAAGCCAGUGGUGAACUCCACAUACGCAUCCUUUGCUGAGGAGACGGUUAACGGAGCGAAAGCGACGUUCAACCUCAAAAGAAGCAGAGGGGGCUUAGUGGUGGGGUGACUGCGUACCUUUUGUAUAAUGGGUCAGCGACUUAUAUUCUGUAGCAAGGUUAACUGUAUAGGGGAGCCGGAGGGAAACCGAGUCUUAACCGGGCGUUAAGUUGCAGGGUAUAGACCCGAAACCCGGUGAUCUAGCCAUGGGCAGGUUGAAGGUUGGGUAACACUAACUGGAGGACCGAACCGACUAAUGUUGAAAAAUUAGCGGAUGACCUGUGGCUGGGGGUGAAAGGCCAAUCAAACCGGGAGAUAGCUGGUUCUCCCCGAAAGCUAUUUAGGU
This 385-nucleotide ribosomal RNA is filed under the name Salmonella enterica subsp. enterica serovar Typhi. Its description in RNAcentral is "bacterial LSU rRNA". The stretch from base 82 to 385 matches the Rfam family "Bacterial large subunit ribosomal RNA", at positions 568 to 875 of the family's 2925-position model. The record is from RNAcentral. Lineage: Bacteria; Pseudomonadati; Pseudomonadota; Gammaproteobacteria; Enterobacterales; Enterobacteriaceae.